AUUUCGUGUAAAUAAAAAAAGUGAUAUAUUUGAUGUAGAUCAGAAGAAACAGUUAAUUUCAGCGGGAAUUGUAUCUGUAUGAAGGUAAUCGAGAAAAGAUGAGAUUGUUGAUCACAUAAAUAUGACAUUAUGAGAAAGCUCGAGUACAGGGUCGACGAUAUUUUUCGAUAACACCCACGUGAGGCACCAAUGGCCGUACAUUUAUUUGAGCUCCAUAUUUGUCCAAAGUCUAAUAUUUGCGGACCGUUCGAAGAUCAUGGUUUUGGAGGAGCAGCUGAGUAAAGAGUUGGGGAGUGUAUAAACCUUCAAAGGUCGGCUGCAAUAAUUCAAAACGGAAUUCUGCUCUCCCUGUCUCUAUGAAACAUAGUUUAAAUCAAUACCACAGACGAUCAUAAAAUUCCCUACGACAAUGAAGACCGUUUGUCAUUCUGAAAUUUUAAUACAAAAAAUUGAAACGUCUUAUAUAUAGUUUAUAUCUAUACAUAUAUACGUAUUUUAAUUCGCAUCUUUUCACAUAGUCGCAUAUUUUGACUGUUAUUUGGUGUUCCCGAAUAAUGAGAAUAACUUUGAAAAGAAAAAGCUUUCGAUUUUUAUCGCUAAAGGACAAAGCUAAUUUUUAAUUCACGAAAAAAUACACUCCUGAAAUUUGACACCACACUCAUGCAAAGCGCUCCGCACGUGUAGGAGUUCGUGUCCAUAACGAGUUAACAGGAUUCCACGAACAGCAUGUGGAUAGAAGCUCGAGGGCAGACUUGCGGGGAACAAGGGAUAUAAAGGAACGAUUCGGAAGCAAUUCGGUAAGUACAUGUCGAUUUAUGUCCGGGAAUCGCCGAUAGCUCACCUACGCCAUUUUCUCCCCCCAUGUUCGGCUGGAUCGCCGAGGAUAACUCCGUAAGAGAUCCACGGAUGUUAUUGUAUGAGAACGUCGAUCGUUCUCAAUCCUCCCACCAUAUUUUAUACACCCGGUAUAUAACGCGUAGAAGAACGUUUCCGAUGGUCUAUCUUAUGACGUUAUUUGCGAAGUGGUCCGAAUGGAUGAGUCGUCGACUGUCGAUCCGUCGAACGACACUGGAGAGGAGGAGAAGACGCGAUCGACAAACUUCGACCAAGAAAUUAUGAGAAGCCUUUUUUCCUAGAUUACACGAAACAUCCAAUCGAUAUCACGUAAGCGGGACGAAGGAGAAGUGGAUUCCACAGCACGGCAGCGGGGAUUUCUUUUUCGCGAAACCUUCGAUUUCAUCUGCCACCGAGAUCGUAAAUAUCGCCGGUUCUAACGGCGACAUUCGUCUGGUGACGCUAGAUAAUGGUAUUGGAUGGAUUUUUUAUACCCUCGCAUAUAUUCUCUCAAGAAAAAGUAAGAUUCACGGAGCAUCGCGACAGUGAGAUUUGUUCUAUCGACAUGUUAUGUACAAAAGAUGAGUGUAAAAAUAUUGAUAUUAAAAAAAAUUUAACGAUGCAGAUCAGUAUGUAACACGCACAUACACUUGAUAUUAAUUCUGAUAUUUAACAUUAACAUUUUACAACAAAAUUCGUGGUACUACAGAGAAAUGUAUUACUCUUAGAGCUUUCUCUUAAAGCUUAUGAAUAACAUAAGUAUAUGUAUCGACUAUAAAAUACAUUUUAUAGUUUAUAAAAAUAUAUCGUAAUAAAAAUCACACGUGCGGAACAAGGAACGGCAAACCGUAAUUCUUGAACGAUCCGGUUAUCGGACUUUUUGACCCGCAAUAGGCCUUCGUAGCGGCACGUAAAUUAUUCAGAUGAAUUUGCGGCGCUGGUGAAUAAUCCGGUUGCGCGGUGACGGGCCAAUGUUUUUCAUGCGGCUAUCCCUCAUUUGGCUUAUCUCUGAUUCUGACUAAGACUAAUGCGGGCGAUUCGCUCGAUCGUUUGUAACCCCCUCUGACCCUUGUGGCCAGCUCGCACUCAUUUACCCCCGAGGACCACCCUCUUCGGUCUUCGGUCCUUUGCUGACUAACACGCUCUCAUUUAUCGGCAAGGAACCGAUGUCUGUCCCGCGGAUAUUAGUUCGAGGAAAUGCCAAGAUCACUCACUAGGCUAGAAGGUAAAAGAAGGUUUCAUUCGAUUUGCCAGAUCGCGGCAUAUUGCAAUUUUUUUCCAAAUUUUUCACUUCAACGGAUCGAUACUGUUGCAGAACGAGAAAAAACGAUCGUAUUGUGCUCGCAUUUUUCCGUUUAGAAAAAUUGGCGCACAGAGACAUCCUAGAUUGACGUGACUUAUGUCACAAUCGCUUUCGAAUUGCGCCACCAUCAAAGUCUAAUUUUCUGGAUACGCGUAAGAGGACCGAAAACGAUCAGGAAGGGGUUUUCUCAGUUUCGCCGGUGCUAUAUAACUCGUAUAACUGCCGCCCGGUUUCCUAUGCUCGAAUAACGUUGCACUUAUCGUGGUUUACGUUCCGGCGCUUCUUUCUCCCGAGAUAUCGACUUUUAACGAUCGGAACGGGGAAGCCGGCUAUGAGAGGGCAAAAGUGGCUGCGCUCCGGUUUGCCGGAAAACGUAUGGGUCCUACCCUCCUUUACAUCCUACUUUUUUACGGCGCGCCGCAAAGCCUCCGCGCUCCCGAGAUGAGGCUCUUCGUACGCCUGCCGUGACACGUUCCCGUAUAAUUUCACCGGAUCGCGCGAGAAUAAAGCCAAGUCGGCGCGCGGCAGGAAAAUAAAAAUAACUAGCAGCACAGCCAUUACCCUAAUCGCCUGCUCCUCGGACGGGCUCCAACCAAGCGGGUAUUUCACAUUGCGUGAAUACGGAUCGACGCCGACGUCGAACUGGUUCUCCGCUGCGAGAGUUCCUGCCGCCUCUGCGUAUCCUCUUCCCGGAACGUUUCCCCAUUUGCCUUUCUCUUUCUUCAUCUCAAUGCGCUUGAUGCCUGUCCCUUUUUCUCUCGCUGGCAUCUGCCUCCUGCUCGAGCUCUUCCGCGUCUCUCCUCUCCCGUUCCCUUCGUUUAAUUUCUUUUCCGACCUCCGCCAUCGGUAAUACCGCGUUUCUAUAUCACCGAAGUCUGGAUCCUACAUCAGACGGCUCACACGCGAUUUACUAAGAAAUUCAUUGGCUAAUGAAAUUAAAUUCCUGCCGGCCGUUCGUCUCACUCCGCGAGGGUCCUCCAGAAAGUUUAUGCGUCGUAUUGAGUUCCGCGAGUUCCACGUCUCGUUGUCCUCUUUUCUCCCCCGUUCCUUUCCCCCGCCAGCGCUCGCAAACUGAAGCUGGGCGCAAAAAGUAAUCCAAAAAUAAUUCCCUUUGCUCACCUCCCUUUAGACCGUCGCGCGUCCGUAUCGCACGGCAAACGCGACGAAGAAAAUGAGACGACGAGAGCUGGUCGGGCCGGGAAAUAAAGAAAAGACGAAGAAAAAAUGUCGACUCCACAGUCGGUCCUCGUGCCUCGUGCAAAUAAUUGGAACGUGCUGAACCCCUCGAGUUCUCGGGUACUCUUUUAAUUUCGCUCCUGGCCUCCCUUAAUUCGUCGCAGGUAGUUAGAAAAGACACUCCCGGAACUACUUCCCGCCUCCCUUGCCAUCUUCGUGUACCUUCCGUUCUCGUCUGCGCAUUGCAUUAACUUGCGAGCGGAAUCUCGCAGGAACUCUGCCGGACCGAAUCGCUGCGGUGAGAUUUUUAAAUAAGCACGUCAGGAGGAGGUGACGGCAAGUACGAUGUUGACUCCUUGAAACUUGAGCGCCAUACGCCUUCGACUACUUCGGGUAUAACUACUCUUGUCAUAAGGAGCUUUCUCUUCCACUUUCACAACUUCUUCUACGCGCUUUAAAGAUUUUUAAUUUCGAUAGCGUCGCGCGCGUGAAAUUCAACGCGAAGUUUGCGGAGGCUUAAUUCGCAAUUAAGCUGGAAGUCUUAAUGGCUGUAACGCUGUAAAAUGUAGCGACCACGUUUCAACGUUUUACGGUUUACGAUCACCACGAAAAAUUGAGCACUGAAAUUGAUUUGCAGAACACAGCAGCCUCAAAAUGUUGCUCUCGCGUGACUCGACAAGCCGCAUCGCGGAUCGUACGUGCACGGUGAGUCAUAAUUAAAAAUCUAAUUGGCAGCAGAUACCAUUUUUUUCGAUGCGGCAAAACUUCUUUUUCAUUGCCAAUUAUUCGAGCUCCGGCACGGAUGCACACUUGAAAUUUCCAAAUGGUUCUGGUGCGCUUUUAACGAAGUGCGCAAUGUUUUAUGAGUAUUAUUUUUUACGCCGCAUGGGAACGCAUUGCAAGCGGUGUUCGUUUCACACACCGAGCUUUGUAUUCUAUUUAGAGGCCGCACGUUGUUCAGUCUCGUCGAUCGACAAUUCGUGCGUUUUUUUCAAUUCAUCACAAAAUCCCGUUUUUUUCGUGAAGCUUUUUUUCGUGAAAUAUCGAAAAGGAUUCGGUUACUUUAAAUAUAUUUAUCGAAGCAAGAUAGUGACAUCGUCAUGCGUUAAAGCAUUAUCGAUGUCUAGAAUUAUGACCAAUCGGCCGGAUCGAAAUGCGUCAUUAUUAUAUCUCAUUCAACGAAUAUCACGAAAUGAAACUAUCACUUUCUGCAACGGACAGAUAUCUCAGGGUAGUGGCGCCGUCCCAAAAGAACGAUGGCGGCAGCUUCUUUUUUAUAUCCCGCAGGGGGGAUAAUCUUGUUUUUCUACUGGAGAAUUCCCUCUGGGAGAAUAAGUCAACGGUGGCUUCGGGUGUCUUCAGGAGAGAGAGAGAGAGAAAGAGAGAGAGUUAAUUCGUGGUCCGCUGCAGGCUGCAGGCUGUUUACACGCACAGGGUCUCAGUGAUGUAUUCGCGCCUCGAAUUCGCGGCUUCCUUGCCGACCACCCACGCCUCGAACUCGAUCGUUUUCAUUCUCUUGCUGGACAUAUAUGGCAUUGGGACGAAUAUAUUGAAAAUUCACAUAAUUGUAAGAUUCAUGCUCACUACUAGUCUUAUCAAAUGCCGAAAUGAAAAAGAAAUUAUCGUCAUCACGCGUGCGGGUUAAAGUUUUAUUAUUUAUAUUCACUUAUAUAAGAUAUAUUAUAUAAGAAUAUUAUAUAUUCUUUCUGUAUAUUCAUCACAGAAUUAUUUAGAACAUCUUUACUUAUUGUACAAAACACUAUCAUAAAUUUAGAAUUCUUAAUAUGGCGAACUAAUUUUAGUGCUAAAUAAGGUUUGAAAAAUCAUCUUAAGAAGCUUUUCCGCGUUGACAGCAGGUGGAUUAGCGAACAUGCGGUUGACGGAUAAGGCUUGUCAAUUAAUUACCCUUCCUUGUAUAUUCAAGUUCGGGGAGUUCGCACCCUCUAUCGUUUCAUGGGAUUAUCAUGACACGACAAGCUCCGCUUAUGCUCGGUUUAGGAUCUGUCUGAACGUUUCAUUUUAAAGACAAUAUCAUUUUGCGUUGACACGCGUGAAUCUCCAUCAUCAUGUCCCACCUAUAUACAAAUAAGCAUAGUUUAUUCAUACUAUGAAUCGUUAUUCCCGAUGUUCUCAGAAAUUUUCUGAGAACAUCGGGAAUAACGAUUGUCCUAACUACAUCCUAAACUACACGUCAAGAAACUGAACACUUAGGAAUUUUAUAAUCCUCAACUCCGAAACUCGCACAAUUAUACGGCAAACACAUCAAUAUGCACCAAUGUGCACUAAUCUACAUUUAAUAAAGCCGACGCAAGCAGGUCACAUUUCUCAGGUAACGUUACACAAGAUUGAAAUUAUCGUUGCAAGAUCAGAACGAGCUAAAAACUAGGGCGACGUUACGCAAUGUAUUUGGUAUCGCGUGAGCAUUAUCACGGCUACGAAAUUAAUAGGUGCGAGGGAAAUCGGAUCAGGAAGCGUCUAGGUCGAUAUGGCGACAGCGGUAUAAUAGCAGUACGGCGGUUACGCCGAGCUUAGUAUGAGACACGAACGAAGGGGUCAGGAUUUGGGGUCGGCGUGAGGUCGCGGGCGAGCCGCAGAGGUGCGUGCGAGAGCAACUGAAUCUUUGAUGCCGGAGGUCGAGUCAAACUACCCUUUCCUACGUACCGGGGAGAAUCUCCCCACGAGGAAUAUCCGUGAUCGCCGGCGACGGUUAACAGCGACCAGCUACGUCGAGGGAAGUUCGCUUACACGCGGCUGUAACCCUUUACUGCGGACCAUAUCUACUCGGCGGAGCGACAGUAACGAGGUCAUCUUUUUACUCGAAAGGUAGCACGAACGUCGCGUAAGUCUCCGAGUCGAAUGCACUCCUCCCUCUCAAAAUCCCCGCGAUCCCCGUAGCGGAAUCUAAUCUCCUGCUCAAUUACUCUCUCGUUAUCCGGUGGAAGUAAGAGCGCCGGCGAGAUGAGAUUCUCGUGUGGAAACAACGGCGCUGACGCGCCUGAAGGGUGACCUGGUUGAGAAAUUUCACGUGUGCGCAGAAACAAGUGACGCAUGAGUGAUUUGCACGAUCGGUUGAUUGCUCGAUGAGAGAGACGAUUGAGACAACUUAAUCGAACUACGGAACCGCGCCGGAAUUAGUUGUAUCGAUUUUAUGGCACGUAUUGCAUGCGCAAUGUAGCAUUUGUGUCGCGUGAUUUUAUUAUAACAUGCGUAGUGAAACUGGAUGAAGCGAAGUGGAAACAUGCGGAUCAACGAUCAAAAGCUUAUACAGUUUUACGUACAAUUUAGCUGCACGUGUACACCGCGUUUGCCUGGUCCAUCAACUUUAAGCACGAUCGCGAGUGUCAUCUACGGAAGUAUGGGUAAGUGGAUACACGUGAGCGGAGUUGGCGCAUGUACGUGUGUUUUCUCAAUUACAAAGAUUCAAUUAUAUAAAGAUAAAAGGAAAAAGAGAAUCUCUCUCUUAGCGGACAAGAAAUCGUAAUUACGUUAUUGUGAUAUAACGGAAUUGUGUAACUUUUACAAUAUACGAAAAGAACACAAUCUAAUUUUCUAAAAAGGAAAUUACUAGUAGAUUAAAUGUAACGCAUAAGGAUAAUAUUACAGAUAAAACUAGCAGAUAAUAUUCCAAAAUUCUAUGGAUUAAAAGUCCCGUUAUUCUCGCAAUUAGUGACGCACGUAGCAAUUUGCUCAUGAAAUUUUAUAAUCGUUAAUCGAAUGCGUAUAUUCGCGAGUACACUUGAAUAUGAAAACAUCGAUACUACUACUGGCACCAAUUGUUGACUAUCAGCGAGUAUAUCACGCAAAUGCAAAAAUUAGAAAUUACGAUGGUCCGACGUGAACGUAAAUUAGCGAAGCAUGAUACAUUGUUGAUAACCAACUUUGUCAUUCAAUACCUUUUCUCUCUAUUCAUAGAAAAUCAAAACGAGCCACUCGUCGAACGUGCUAAAUGGCAAUGAAACGCGAUACGCUCGUAUUCAAAUGCGUCCAUUCCGAAUCACGCACAGUGAAUUUGUGAAGCGAAUUUUGUCUUUUUUUUCAUACACGCAUCAACGCGGUUGGUCAAAAGAGGAUUACUCCAGCGGAUGGUUCAGUCGGGAGCCUUUAGAUUUCGCCCACGCAAGAAGGUGUUACCAUCCAUGGCGUUUAAGGCGGGACGACGACGGUAGCUCGAUUAAGUAACAGGGUUUAAUGUCUAUGCAAAGUAAAUUGUUGCUCGACGAAGCCCGAUCGUGGCUCGAAAAAGAGCCGAGAGGGUUCGCGAGGAGAAGAAGUAGGAGGAGAAGAGGAAAAAACGAAGUCUGGUAUAAUCGAGAGAUACGGCGAAACCGGAAAGAGCGGGGGUGGAGCAGCUGGGCUACAAUUAAAUGAAGAGGACACCACCCACCGAUAGCGCCCAGGAUAAGUUCCUUUAGCGAGUGAUUAAAUUUUAAUCCACUUCUAAUUAGAUUUUUUGUCAAGCUCGACGUAAGAGCGAACGGCCAAGACCAUUUUGAAGAGAGAAGGUUAGGACCCGAGUAAGCGAAGAUGCAACUUUCGUGUUAAAAGGAUUCAUUUUAAUCGAAACUUUUUAAUGAGAAUCGGUUGUUCGGUAUUUUAAUGUCAUUAACACUGACUCCGCUGAUAACUCUCUAACGUCGGCACUCGCUCAGAUGUGAGUCAAGUCGGAGAAUUCCGUUCUUCGAGCAUUGAUUCCAUUGUAUCUACCUUGUUCUUGCUCAAGAGAUUUGGAAUAAAAGUGUGAUUAAAAAUACAAUAAACAUCUGCUUCCCAUCAUCAUAAUGUAAUUACAAAGAUUGGUAUAAUUAACAAGCAACAUCAUUAUCGAUAAGAUAUGCGCUUUUAAUCCUCCUAUUAUUCAAACUAUUCAAACAGAAUUUAUAUACAACUUACAAAAUUAUACGCCAACAUGUUUGUCUAUCGCUAUAAAUUUACGAUAUAGGUUUACUAAACGUCUAAACCUCGACGCGAAUCAUCUAAUAAUAUUUCCCUCGUAACAUAAUCACAGAGAUCCGGAUAAAAGAUACAUUCGAUUCCGCAAUUUAUCGUUGAUAUGAAAAUCGCAGUAAUACCGCAGACACUGCAAUCUUCGUCGAUCUGACCGGGCAUCUGCGAAUUUGCACAGUUCCGGGUUUCUAACAUGGACGAUUCGACGAGCAAACAAACGACGAGCGAAUUUGGCAGCUCUCCUUUGGCGAGCCGGCCAGCGCCGCUGUGCUGCCGUCCCGUCGUUCCUCUUCGCGAUCGUUCUACUUUGCAUCUCGGUGCACAUCCUGCCUGAGCUGCAUAGCCCAUCAUUCUCUCGUUCCGCUGUUGGUUCCUAUCAAGCGUCGAUGGUUCGGACAUGCAAGCACCGAGGCGAGCUCGCGCCUCUGGUCAGUAGUUACCGCAGGAACCACCGGUCGGUUUUGCUUCUGGCCAGGCCUCGCCCGAACUAGUCUUCGCGUUACGCGCCGACAAGUAGUCAGUUAGAUUACCAUUAUAGCUAAACGUGCACGACUAAGAAAAGGCCUACGGUAUCCCUUCAACAACGCUCCACCGCCGUCCCGUAAUUUCCAAACCACCUUUCAGACGCCGCGCGGCACCGUUCCUCUAAUUGAAUUAGCCAUCCGGAAUUAGCGAUCUGAGAUUAGCACCGCGGUUGCUUCCUGUCUUCCGAAACUGACCGAGAGAAUUGAAUCAUACGUCCAUUACGUAACCACGUAAUUAGAGAGAGCAUAACGAAUUGUAAUGAGUACAGUGUGCGUGUCGUUUAUAGAACUCGAGAACCGAUAGAGUCGGGAUGAGACAAAGAUCGGAAUCCUAACGCUUGAUGGGUGUCAGUGAAAUACGAGAGCACUCGAGCACUCCGCGUUUGCCCGGUGCUCCAGCUUCUAUCUCUCCGCGCGCUGCGAGUAGAUGGACCCUGACCGCCGGCGUCGUCGCGCAAUUCCGAGUUGUAAACUUCAACGGCAGGAUAAAUGGACGUUAAUAGAAUGUAUAAGAGCACAGGGCGAAGCGACAGAGGCGGAGACAGGACGCGGAGGAAAUAAAAGGUAGAACCGAUCGGUUCGAUCUCCUUACUCGGCUCGGUCGCCUUCUUACCACGUGGCGCAGGUGGAUCGACGAUACUUAUCUGGCAAUAGCUAUUUCCUGGGACUUUCGCGGGAAACAAGGGCCCCGCGUCUUUGUGUGUCGUCGUCUGUCAUCGCCAAUCCUCGCCAAACGAUCGCCGUCUCUCGUGCGACUUCCGCGUACGACUCUUUCACCUCAAUCGUGGUGCAGUGCCCUUUGACGUUUCUCGAGUAUCGAUCGCGUUCGACUUUGAAGGUCAUCCUACUCUGGAAAAACGAGUUUUUCCGGUAGUGAACUGGAAAUUCCCGAUGCUAUAGAACUAUUCACUUUGUGUGUCUGUAUUAAGAGAAAAGUGCUAUUCGUGGUAUUUUCAAAAUCGUAUCAAUUUGUGUAUUUCCUAUAAUACACGAUUCAAAAGAACUAAAAGAUUAGAAAACUUCUACUCGAAAAUGCAAAAUGUAAAAUACAUUUUUUCCAUAUUUUGUGAUAUGAAUUUUUGGAUAAUUAUAUACGUAAACAAUAAAUGUUUAAAAAUACAAUUUUCGGUAGAAAUCACUCAUAUCUUCUAGAAGUUGGCUCUCAAGCGCAGCAUCAUUUUACAUAUCAUGUAGAAGUGGAAUGAACUGGGAAUACAUUUCGCCUGUCGACAGCAUCAUCCCAUGUGGCAUAGACAAAAUAGAAAUAUGCAGAAACGAAAGAAGAAAGACAGAUAUUAUAGUAACUAGGCAAAGAUAUAUUACGCUAGUUCGUUGUUGGUCUUGAUUGCCAGAUAUUCAACGGCGCUUAGCGUAGAUGAAGACGGCGGGUGGCAUUUAAUGUCGUAACAUCAUGCCGCAACGUUUACGCCAUGUAGGCAUACUCAAGGCAAUAAGAUCUAAUGUGAUAUACAGCAGUUUAUACAGCAGUAUCCUGAAAUCGAGUCGGGAGGAUAUCAUUUGCGUAUCGUUACCACCGUUACAGCGUUAUGUACGCUGCGACUGUUAAAAGGGUCUGCCAAAGGCCCGCUUCUGCGCGCGGUAAAUUUUGCAUCUCGCACUCUGCAUAUGCAUGCCUCGGCAGAAACGAAAUCAUCGACUUACGAGAUUCACAGGGAGCCGCGCGCUUUUCAUUGCUGCCAUUAGUGGGCUAUCUCCUUCGUCAGCGUAUAAUUUACGCGAGCGUUUUAUCCGUUAACGUCACGGUUCACCGAGCAUCUUCUCACCGUGGCCAAACGAUUUACAUGGAAUUAUCAAGAAGAUCGCAAACGAUCUGUUCACAAUGAGAAGUUACUGUAUGUACACAGUUGACCGAUUUGCUUGGUCCACGCCGUUAAUCGCGAUCGCACGUUACAAAGUUCCGUGUCACUGAGCCAUUAAAAUCCGCUUAAGAUGGUCGCGUAAUGCGAAGAAAAUGUCGGGCGCGUGGUAGAUCGCGCUAUGAACUGGAAGAUACACGCGAGUCAAAUUUAAUCGACCAAUUUCGUGCGCUAUAAACUGACUUGCCAUUCAAAAUCGAGUCGUCGAUGCGCGAGUCGCGCAAUCCUCACACGACCGCGAGGAACGUCCACGAAAAAAGAAGGUGACAAACCAGCUUAAUGGCUGACACGGUGAAACGCGUAAAAUCGCGCACAUUACAGCCUCUAGCGGCAACAUCAGCGAGAACAGGCACAGGGGGCUUGAAGUCUAGGUCGAAGUCUCGGCGAGAGGCUUGCAAGUCGAACGCCCGCGUAGUAAUUUACGCUAUAGGAAACGGCGGGACACGAGGUGGGUAACGCGAGACUUGGAGGCGCCGUACGCAAACCGUCUCGCCUCGUUCUCGCGGGAUAGAUGAGCUGCUUCGUGUACGCUAAGUGUGCUCUCCCUUUCUGCCGUGCGGCAGGAGCUACCGUACAGGUACUCUCGUUAUCUGAUAUUAUUACCUGCUAAUACCCCAGGUUCGACUGCCGUGCCGUGGAGAGUAUUUAGUAACCCUAGAUCCGGCAAAUCGGAUUCGCUCUGUCCCUUUCCUACGGUUUGAUGCCUCCAGAAUCCUGGAUCCUCCCCUCCCUCGCUUCCUCUCGCUUCCUGUACGUCUAUUCCCGUCUCUAUCUUCUUAACGAUUAGAAAUGCGAGUUCUACGUGUUCCGUAUCGCUAAACGCAUCUCGUCUGCGAUAUACGUUCCGCUCGUUCGAUUAGAUCAGCACGUACGUGCAGUCCUGCCGUCACGGACGAUGUAACGAUGCUCUUGUUGUUGGGAACGAUCGAAUUAACAUCGCUCUACAAACGUCGCCGCGGUCGGUUCGGUAUUGCCUGAACCGCCCGGAUACCUCGGUAAACAUUCGCGACUACACUAUAGGAGCUCUCGAGCACAAAAGCUACUUUGGAUCGGGCAAGCGGAAAGCCAUCCUUUCCCUGCAAACGAAAUGAACUCCGGGAAACUUCGCUACUUAACCGCGGGAGAAAUUGCGACUUUAUAUAGGCGCCCUUAAGAAAAACAACGCGAAACUGGCAAUGUUUAAAAGCAUACCCUCGGCACGCACUUUAGCAUGUUUAUUCUUUCAUCGAGAGCAGAAAUCGAUUCUCAAUUCGUCAAAGAAUCCGUACUUGAGAGACGCGUGAAGAUGAUUUUUACGAUGACGGGCGUGACUUUACUUACUCUUCGCGUUCGGAUCAUAUAACUCAUUUAAUCAAAGAUAGUCUUAUCCGCGCGUUAUGUCUAAUCGGAGUAUCGCAUAAUGCAGUAACAUCACUUACAAGUCGCCAUACGAUAUGUCUUACGUUACCGUAGUAUACAUAGCUGCACGUUAUUCACGAAAAUGGUGAAUAUUUCAAAUAAAGCGUGACUGCUGGGAGAUAUAUAUCUCCGCGUUCCAUCUCCCCGUGAGCCCCACCGCAUAUAAGGUAUAUCAUAUUCACGCAUGCAUGCAUCAUGGUUAGUACGUCGUAGCUGUCAGACAUCGGCGAGGUGUAUCUAACGUAAGCCGAGGCGUCUUCAACUUGAUUACCCUAACGACAUCAUGACCGACGGCGUCAUCUGAUAAACUAAUGCAAUACAACAAUAGGAAAGUCGCGCGAAAUGGCUCGUGCAGCAAAUAGAGGCAAAAAAUUUCCUGCACUCGUACCACUUCUUAAUUUUCUCAUUUUUUUCUGAAAGAAGAGAAGAGUAUGAUGCACGUUUUUCAUGAUUUUGAGACUACAGUUAUCCUGAAAAGCCGUCCGAAAAAAUCGAGCAUUUCGAUAGCCAUGCAAAUGACCAUUACCGUUUUUAAGCGCCCGCGAUGCGAUCCCGCGGCGCAUCGAAAAACCCGUGAAACGGGCAUUACUACUAGCGACAUCAGCAAUUUUCGCGCGAUCGCGUACAGUGCCAACUUGAGAGUGAUAAAACAAAUUGCACUGGUGAUUCCAAGUGACCGCAGGCGAGCACGUGGCGCACUCGUGGAAAUAGUCAGCGUCGUCCGACUCGCUCCAGGAGGAUUUUCGGCGUCGCUUGUGGUCGCGGCUGCGUUUAUCGCCCACGAAUGGCUUUCUUUUUUGCUUACGAGCGAGUCGUGCGAGUGCGAAAGGGAUGCACGCGGUAUACAGCGCGGUCCUCUGUAUUCGUUCCACCUCGUAUUCCACUUCCGCCAUACCACCACGCCGAAGAGCCCCUUUACAGGGAACGCUAUUAAAUCAUAUCAGGUUCAGCCGGCAAUUAUUUAGGUAUUAGCACUCUUUCCCCGCGCGCAGCCCGUGCAUUCGCGUUCGACGCUGCUGCUGCUGCAGCGAUCGGCCUCGCCAUCCGCGCUUCAUCCGCGCCAAGAAUUUUUUGCUCGCACCGUGCAUCGCGCCGACUACGGCGCAACGCGUUUUUCGCGCUCAGCGAAAUUCCGCAGUAGCCUCGUUAAGGGCCGCCGCCCUUCCCUGCGCUCGCCGCCUGUCGCUUGUUAUGCACGUUAAGAUACGAGAGAAGCUCUCUUCGUGCCAAGACUCAUUAGAUGGAAAUGCUCUUACAUUACUCCUGGCCAAUAUGGUUUGUUUGAUCUUUCUUUUUUUCUUUGGCAUCCGAUCCGCAAUCGCCUCCGCUCAGCGUUUAUCACUUUCACUCAUCAUUCGCAUUUUCAACGCUUCGUUACUUUUCUCGAUGGACACGGGCUUUGAAGUCUAUCGAUAGAUUAAUCGUAGGAUAUCGCUUUGCGUUGUUGCAACGUAAGUAGAUAAUGUCGACCUAAUGGGCACGAUUUAAUUCCGAAAUUGGCGGCGGACGCAGAAAGGGGAUAAAUAACUCGUUAUUGCAUUCGAUAAAACGUCGCGUGACUCGGGUCCUUAGGACGUGCAGUCGCCGCGUGCAGGCUCGUGAGCAGAGACCCUGUCGUUUCAUUUCUCACAACAAAUGUGCGCACGGUAAUAAGAGGACCGGCGUAUAAUGAGUCAAGAUCGAUUUCUUGAUCGCACAUCAGACUCACGAAUCGAAAAAAGACCUACCUACCCGUUCGCCGAAAGGUUUUAUUGAGAAUUGAUUUGCAGGACGCGAUCAUUUGCGCGAGAUGAUAGCCUUCGGGAGUAUAUGUCAAUACUCGUUAAAUAUCAUUUUAUUUCUGAGCUGCAACAAUCGUUUUGCCAAUAACACAAGAAAACCGCAGCAACGUAACGUUUCUUUAUUGAUUCCCCACAGUGCUUGAUUACCUGUAAGCGAUCAGGUAAACUCUCGAAACCGGUCUUUCGUUUUACUGUCACAUGCAUCCACUUGCUCGAAAAUAAUACACUCGUACGAGAAGCGUACACGCCACAUUUCUUACUGACGCUUUAUCACGCGAGCAACAUUGCGCGACAGUGUAUAACGCCAGUAGAUGAGACUUACACUUCUCACCGGACGCCACACACACACAUACGCACAGAUCGAUUACCGUUCUUUCCAAGAUUCGCCCGCGAUGCAUUCAAUACGUCUCGCCGUGGACGAUAUCUCGGCGAUAUUACGAGCCUUCCACGGCGCCGGCGUGCAACAAAAAGACGCGGCGGCUCGUGCGCGUGGUUCCUGCGAGUUAAAGGAUCGCCCGUUAUAAAUAAUCGCUUCCUGCCGGCUCCUGUUUACGCCGCGCACGGCACGGUAUCCACCCCGGGCGAGAUUUUUUCGUCGAGGCUUGUACGGUCGAGGCGGUGGCGACGAGGUCGGCGGCAGCGGCGAAAAUGUCGGUCAUAAAAAUGUCCUGGUAAGGAAUGGCCCCGGCGAACAGGGAGCCAGACGAGCCCGUUCGCCGGCGACCGCACCUUCGGGAUGGCUUCUUGGUCUGCGCGAGCGGUCCCGUAUAUCGUGGGUGUGCAUCGCGCGCCCUUUCCUCGUUUAUACCGUGCACUUUACGGCGUAGGUAAGUAAGUAUGAGACCCGGCGAGUAUCCGGUCAACGGAGAAAACGGUCAUCUCGCUCCUUUCCUCAGGAGUUGAGAGGGGUUCUGCUGUUCGAAGAGACUCGUUGGUUAGCCUCGUUUGCACGCAAAUUCAGACAAAAUAACCAUUGCACGAUAUACCUACAGAUCAAUGCGUUCGAUCUCGGGGCUGAGUUUACGAUCGGUGCUGACGAAAGCGUUGGGAUGCAUUAUGCACACUUGCGUUAUAACGCGUUCGAUCGUGUACAGAGAAAGGAAGAGAGAGAGAGAGAGAGAAAAAGGGAAGGAAUCUCUACCUUAUAGCCAAAUAGUAUCUCAUGAAGCCGCGUCGUCGUGCGCAGUAAAAGUACAACGGGUUCAAGUACGACGUGUUGUAAAGUUUUACUUGAUCUCCCGCGUGUGUCGGAGCGCACAUCGCUUACAGCCCGCUGGUCCGUAAAGCGUUACUUCCUUUUCAUAGCGUAAACUUGCGCGCCGUGAAAGAUUUUAAAAGUUAGUAUUACAAAAUGCAAAUUGAUACCGACCGCGGGCGCGCAUCGAUCGAGAAGACGUUGCGCGCGCGUGUAUCAUAGGUCUCGCCGUUCUCCUUUAUAGCGGAACAUUUUAUGACGUAAGUAUAGGUUGACCAGUCAAUGCGGCAACCUGCGGGCAGCCAGAGAACGCCGGGUAUCCUGGGAGAAGGAGGAUCCGCAUGCAAAUUCGAGUAAAGUCGGCUCCGCGCGAAGCUGCCGGGCUGCAUGCAUCGAUUGACUGGCAGUGCAUCUACCAUUAUGGACUCCGGGAGGAAAUCCCGCGGGAGGCGUAUCCGAGAAGGCAAAAAGGGCGCCACGAAAAUAUUAUACUUUAGAUUAUAAUUGUUGAGAUUAACGCUGCUCUUCACUUUGUGCGCCAUGUAUCUGAAAUUAAAUGUUUCCAAAUUUGCAGAUGGCUGUAUUGCAUGCACCAUUAUCGUUUGUUCGGAACUAAGUACGUGGAGAAAUUAAACCGACAAGCACCCCGGAGGAAAAGAGAAACGUGGGCUUUCAGAGGUGGGGGUUAACCUGUUCCACGCAAAUACACAGAAAAUCGCCUUCCGAGAAGCAACCGAAGUUUAUAGAUCCUUUGACUACUCGUGCAUCAAGCGAAUCCAUGCCAAGAGAAAAACUCUCGAUAUCAGAAGUGGCAUCUCGGUGUCUGCGUUACGCACGGUCUUUUCGCGAGACGAGAGAAACACAGGAGAAACUAACGCUGUUCUCACGAGAUUACAGUGAAAUUAUAUUUUACGAUCUAUGAGAUGUAAACUGGAUAAUGCAACAGCACAUUCUAAAAUUAUAUUAGUGUAUAUAAUAUUUUAUUGUCGUACUAAUAUUAAAUCUACUAAACUCAAAAUCUUUUUUACUCGAUAUUACGAUUUUAGUCAAUUAUGAGCAACUGUAAGAAUUGUUAGUGACACACUUUCUGUCUCUAAACAUAAAAUUCUUCUCGGGCUUGAGAAAAACAAGAACAAAUAAUUUAAUACCCAUCAUAUAUAUUUUUUUACUAACGUAGUUGCGCCAGAAUGGUGCCAUUCUUUUUCGCUCGCUCCGAUCCCUUUUUGUUGCUCAUCAGCACGUCUCGUUUAUUUUCGCUAUUCCUUGCGCUUCGCUUUUUCAGCUUACGAGAGAUGCAUCGAAGUAACCCGUCGUUGCAUGCACUUUGUGUCUGGCCUAUUUUCCUGUGUGUCGGGAAACGAGGAAAAUGAUAUCCCGCUUCACUCUAUCCUUUUUUCCUUGCCUCCUUGCCACGACUCGUUCCCGGCUUUCUUUCCGUUUUACGUUGCAGUCCGCUUUUUGAGAUACGCGUCGUAGACGAGCCCGGAGACCAGUGUGCACUCGAAUGGGUAAAUUGAUACCGUCGACGGUGGUCGCUCUGUUCUAGGGCAUAUGCAGAUGCCUUGCCGCGCGCGAGAAUAUUCUGCGGUCUCUUCUCUUCCACGGAUGAGAUAUACCACGAUAAUUUGCGGCACUUCUGCCGACUGCUCUCGAUUCGCUCUUUUCAUUCCUUUCGAUUCUUGAGCGGACUUAGAACUUCGCGAUAUGAUCUAUGUUCUGCGUAUGAUCAUUAUGUGGAGGCAGAACUCUGUACCGUUAACAAUUAUUGUUUCAAGUUGUAUUUAAUAAUACGCAUGUCUACGUGUUGAAUCCAAAGUAUUCUUUUGUGCGACUUUGACAUUUUCCGAUAUCUGUAAAAUCUGUUUUUGCUCUUGCGAUGAAAAAAAGACCACGUAAAUGUUUUGUCUUGUCAUUUUUCUUCUAUUUGUUCUAGUUCGAGUUUCGGUUAAUGUGUCGCGAAUGUGCACCAAAUUUUAUAUCGGACAUGUAAAAUAAACCGAUUUAGAUGCAAAAUAGUGCAACAUUUAUCAUAUGGGCAGCAGAUGAGUUUGGAACAUAAAACAAUAUCGGAAUUAUCAUGAAUCUUUUGUACAAAUCGAUACCGUUAAUAUUAUGAACAUACACACGUAUUAUCUUAUCGCAACACAUUUGCACAAUGCACGAAACAAAAACAUGCUCGAUAAUCACAUUUAGUGCUUCAACCGCCUCCGCUUGAAAUCAUAUUUCACACAUUUAAAUCCGGCAAUCGAUAAUGCAAUAAACGCGAGAAAUUGCCACAGGAAUUUUACGCCAGCGAUAUGCGCAGAUAUAAUCAAUGCAAAAAGCUUUGAAUAAACGAAAGCUCAAGCAUUAUAUUAUCAAAACGUAAUAUCGGUUUGAAACGGAAAUGUAGAUAUUAUCGCGCAGAUCGAUCCGAAUAAACUUAUAUUUUGCACCACGCGUACGAUUGAUAUAUGGAAAAUGGGUAUUCCAGCCUAUGUGUUUCGGAUUUGAUACGCGACUUGAAUAGCACAGAAUGAAAUCCUUGCGAGCAUGCAUACGUAAGCUUUGUACGUGUAAUCUUUCGUAUUCUAAGCUAACUCGCACUCGCCUGGCCCAUUGUAUGUGUCACGGGCCGAACUUAUAUAAAAGCACCUCUUACCCCGUUACUCGAUAGUCGAAAUCCAGUUUGGGAGUUCGAAUGGCGCGCGGGAGCGAAAUGUCGCCCUUUCAAGUGUGCUUCCGCGAGAUCUACGAGGGUCGUUCUCCGCGUGGGUUGCAGUUUCCUUCCUCGAGAGGACAAGCACGUUCCAAUUAAGUGUUGCCUCUUACGGAUCUCAUCCAUUCGUAAAACUAAACCACUUAACCCAAGAACCGAGGACUUCUUUCCUGCGAACUACGAAACUAACCAGAUUAAAUCGUACUAAACUCUCGCGCCCCAUUUAAUGCAUUACAUCCCGAGCUUUCCGCAGAUCAAGCGGAAGCUCCUGAGAGUCAAGCCGCAUAGAUAAAAUCGCAACUUUCGCACGUGAAUUCCGAGGAAUUUUUAAGUGAUUUAUCUUUAUCCGCGUGUGUGUCACUUUUACCGAAAACACAUAAAUAUUCGAGAAUGGCAAUGAAUUUCUAUUUCGAGAAUCCCGAGGUAUAAUAACAAAAACUACAUAAUGAUAUAAGUCUUUUUCCUAAA
Molecule: long non-coding RNA, 18198 nt
Filed under: Ooceraea biroi (clonal raider ant)
Lineage: Eukaryota; Metazoa; Arthropoda; Insecta; Hymenoptera; Formicidae
Description: uncharacterized LOC113561824
Source: RNAcentral